AUCUGUCAAAUUCUAAAAUGCCUUGACAGCUUCAAACCAAGUUUAUUAUUUUAGCAACUAAAUCUAUUAUAGGGAGACGUGCAUAGUAUCUGCCAGAGUGAUGUAAAUCAGCACUUCUUUAAGCUAAAUUUCUUUUGUCCCUCAUUGGAUAACUACAAAAUUUAUGAACUUAUCUCACAACAUAUAGCAUCUACCAUCUAACCUGAAAAUCACUUGCAAUUAUGAAAAUGGUAAUGGGAUCACACAAUAGAUGUUUUAACAUGCAUAUUUACUAUCAGCCGAGAAUCAUCGAACAAAAAAUGCUUUUACAUCCACAUUUUCUCCAUGCCACUGUAUUGACAACAACCUGUGAAGAAAGUUUACUACUUUCACUCUGAUAAGCUGACAAAGUUAAAGCAAUCAAUAAAAAACAAAAUUUAAAAAAAGUUGCAUCCAUAAAUCUUUGAAAACUUUUAAUUUGAAAAUUAUUAGUAUCAGAUGCUAAGAUGAGGUGUCAAAUGUCAAUAAUCUGUACAUUUGUCUAUAAUGUUACCAGGUACACAUCAUAUCCAAAUGAUCAGCAGCCA
This 566-nucleotide unclassified non-coding RNA is filed under the name Hevea brasiliensis (rubber tree). The record is from RNAcentral. Lineage: Eukaryota; Viridiplantae; Streptophyta; Magnoliopsida; Malpighiales; Euphorbiaceae.